This 23-nucleotide non-coding RNA is filed under the name Arabidopsis thaliana (thale cress). The record is from RNAcentral. Lineage: Eukaryota; Viridiplantae; Streptophyta; Magnoliopsida; Brassicales; Brassicaceae.
CGUACGCAACGAAACAUCGCCAA